This 405-nucleotide ribosomal RNA is filed under the name uncultured bacterium. Its description in RNAcentral is "partial 16S ribosomal RNA". It matches the Rfam family "Bacterial small subunit ribosomal RNA", at positions 33 to 526 of the family's 1533-position model. The record is from RNAcentral.
GACGACGCUGGCGGCGUGCUUAACACAUGCAAGUCGAACGAGUGGCGAACGGGUGAGUAAUGUCUGGGAAACUGCCCGAUGGAGGGGGAUAACUACUGGAAACGGUAGCUAAUACCGCAUACCAUCGGAUGUGCCCAGAUGGGAUUAGCUAGUGGGUGGGGUAAUGGCUCACCUAGGCGACGAUCCCUAGCUGGUCUGAGAGGAUGAUCAGCCACACUGGAACUGAGACACGGCCCAGACUCCUACGGGAGGCAGCAGUGGGGAAUAUUGCACAAUGGGCGCAAGCCUGAUGCAGCCAUGCCGCGUGUAUGAAGAAGGCCUUCGGGUUGUAAAGUACUUUCAGCGGGGAGGCGUUACCCGCAGAAGAAGCACCGGCUAACUCCGUGCCAGCAGCCGCGGUAAUUC